CUCAGGUCCUCGAAGAGUUCUAUGCACGAGCCCCAGCUUUCUCCGCCCUCGUCGUGCCUUCGAUCGCCGGUUACCUCGUCCAAGAGGCGCGGUUGUUGCGCUCCGAGGUACGGGCUUUUGGUUUCUUCGAUCGGUGGUUCCGGUAGUUCAUCUUUGGGGGAGAUUGGGAAAUUUUCGAUCUUGAUGUGCGUAUGGUUGAUGCUGACAUCAGAUUACCUGCUAUGAGUUCGAGCCGCUGUUUGGCGUCGAUGUUGCCUCUCCACGCUGCGGUUGCUUCGGCUCGACUGAAUUCGCUUCUCCCCUCGGAGCCCCAGAGCUGGGGAUGGGUUCCACAAGGUUAGUACUACACUCUUAACAGAUCCUGGGAGUUCAGUCUUUGGCAUCUAGUGAUUUCUAUUAAACCAUUGUG
Molecule: long non-coding RNA, 409 nt
Filed under: Musa acuminata (dwarf banana)
Lineage: Eukaryota; Viridiplantae; Streptophyta; Magnoliopsida; Zingiberales; Musaceae
Description: long non-coding RNA (MACU_LNC005167)
Source: RNAcentral